AUGGAAAACUGUUCUGUGGUCAAAUGAAUCAAAAUUUGAAAUUCUUUUUAAAAACCAUGGAUGCCAUGUCCUGCAGAUGAGAGGGACCAUCCAGCUUGUUAUCAAUGCACAGUUGAAAAGCCUGCAUCUCUGAUUUUAUUAAGUUGGCAUUAGUACCUUUGACGUGGACAGCUUACACAUCUGGAAAGGCACUAUCAAUGCUGAACAGUAUAUAGAAGUUUUAGAACAACAUAUGCUCCCAUCCAGACAGCGUCUCUUUCAGGGAAGGACUUGCAUAUUUUAGCAAGACAAUGCUAAACCACAUAGUGCAUCCAUCACAACAGCAUGGCUUUGCAGAGGAAGAGUCUUGGUACUUAACUGGCCUGUCUGCAGUCCAGACCUUUCACCAAUAGAAAACAUUUGGCACAUCAUGAAACUAAAAACAUACAUACAUCAUAUGUAUUUUGUGUAUAGUUCUGGGGCUGCAACAGAGACUGAUUUUUUUCCCUCUAAGAAUACAUUUUAUGUGGUAAGAAUUUAGCUAAAUAUUACAAAAGUGUUCAUACUUAGUUACUGACUCCACCUUAAGUAGGCCUUCUUCAGGGAAAGCUUCAGGUUUUGUAUGUUCUUUGUGAAACACCACUCUGAAUUAAGUCUGAUUUUGGCAUUUAAAGAGUCUUAAUAUGUAAAGUUCAAUCAGCUGCUUAAAUUUAAUGACUUGAUGUGAAAAUGUACCUGCACUUGUAGAACUGAACUUUUUAUAGAACUUUCUUUUCUUAUUCUUCCAUAUGUUACAUGACUCAACAGGUUUAGCAUGUGAUAAAACCUAUAAUGGCCAUACAUAACAGACUUCACCUAAAGCCUGUGAAGACCAGGCAUCGUGAUUUAUUUGAUUAUAUAUACUUUUAGAAAGCUUUGAUUCUGAAGAUAAUUUUCCAACAAAAAUUAAUAUUUUAAUGUAUUAUCACAGAUGCCCAAAUAUGUGGCUCAUGCCACAAAUUACACUGCUUUAAGACACAGCAUUGUUAUGAAAGACUACACACAAGAUUACACACAUGGCUGGAGUGCCCAAACAUGGCUAAUCAGAUGAGCAGGAACACCUAGUCAGCAGAAGAGGAGAUAUAUCCAGCUCUACUUCAUGAGAUGUACUAAAGUAACGCUUGUAGGGGGUUGAAGAAUUGUUGGGAUGUGUGAGCUCUUCAUAAGUGCACGGCUGUUAUGCCUACGAUUUUGGUACAUUUUGGCAACAAUGUCCUAACACAUCAGACAGUUGAAACUGGGGAAAGGCUUCAUGGAUAAGGUGAUAUCCUGUGGAAUCUCUGAAGCUGAUGAAGACAAACUUAUCCAGCUACUGGAUCAGUAUGGAGCCCCUGAAGGGACAAGGUGUAUUUUUUUCAGGUACAAAUCUGGUGUGCACCAGAUACUAUCAGGUGAGAACCCAAUACUGUGUGGUGAGCACCAUAUUCUAUGUGUUGAGCACCCGAUACUAACAGAAAAUAUCUAUACACACACACACACACACACAUAUAUGUAUAUAUAUAUAUAUAUAUGUGUGUGUGUGUGUAUGUGUGUGUGUGUGUGUGUGUGUGUGUGUCUGUAUCUGUAUAUGCAUAAACAAUGUCAGUGUUCACUGGCGACAGAUGGCACAAAAACAAAUAAAACAACUUAAAGAUGAUAAGGUAAGUUUUAUGUUCAGACAGACAUGAAAACCUUAAUAAUUUACCAAUUUGUCCCUACCAAAGAGAUACCGCUAAAUGUAUGCCGUCUUUUCUAGAUAUAGUUAGCUAUGUGAAAACCCUCAUAAAGUCCUAGCUGCUGAAUGAAAUGGUAAAACUGUCCGUGCUCUUUUCAUUUUUCCAAAAUAAAAACAUAACCCACCGAAUGGAAUCGUUUAUCCGUUUUGCGAGGAGCAAAAGUUAUCAUUGUCACUUGAAAACAUUUUGCCUGCUUGCUCAUUUUUGUUGCGGGUGUGUAUAGUUUAAAUGCAAAAAAGUCAUGUCUGGGCAAGUUAGCUAGUUAUGUAGUUUAAGCAACUGAGCACGUAGACAGUGUUCUUGGCUAGAUAGCUAGCUAGCUAACAUACUAGUAGCAAAGUGCUAAAUGGUAGCUAAAUAGCCUAAACUGAAAGGUAGCUACGAAUAUAUCUCAAUGUAAACAGAGUUUUAAAUUAGCAACUUACUGUAACUUUUCUUGCUGAGUAGCUAGUUGUUUUAUUUUUUAUUGUGGAGUGUUCAGCACAGAGUAAACGUUAGCUAGCAUUAGCUAGCUAACUAUGAUGAAAAGUGCAUAAAGCAGGAGGCUUCUUUUUUCAUUUAGGCUACUUUCAGCAAGCCUAACAUGUAUUGUGUAGAGAACAACACAAGCCUUAUAGCUAACCAAGUUAGCUAGCUAACUUUAUCUAGCAAAGGCAGCCUACAUUUAGCUAAUUUAUAUCUUUUGAAAGGGAAAUUAUUCAAGUUUUUAUUGCUGUCUGAAGAAAUAAACAUACCUUAUCAUCUGGAACUACAGCCGAUUCGGCCGCCUCUGACUACAUUUCUCAGAACCCCUCAAUCCCUCAGGACUCAUCUAGAUUCACCUAUCACCGCUCAGCUUCUCCAGACUUCUAAUCACAUCCACCUGUUCUCUUGGGUAUAACCUGUCUAUUUGGUUCUGCUCACUGCGAAGUAUCAUCACUUUUAGCUGUUCGUACCAUGCCUGUCUCCAUGUCUGUUAGCAAGUGACUGUGUAUGACUGUUUAUGACCUGAUUUUUGUUUUGCCCUUUGCUCUGUUUUGGAUCUCUCUGUUUUGGAUCUCUCUGUUGCUCUCUCAACCACUGUUUCUGCUUCUACUGGCUCAGCCUCUCUCUGAUCAACUCAGGAGCUGAAGGAAAUUUCCUGCAUUCAGGCGUGGUGGCUCAUCUCCAGAUCCCUGUGGAACCUCUUCAGACACCCCUUAAAGUCACCACGCUGGAUGGAGGACCCAUUAAUGUGGAUCCUAUCACUUUCAUCACCCAACCAGUCCAGUUGGAGGCUAGCUAUUUUCACAAAGAACAGCUUUCAUUUCUAGUUAUUGACUCUUCUGAAUUUUCUGUUAUUCUAGGACUACCUUGGCUUAAGAAGCAUAUCCCUCAAAUCUCAUGGCCUAACCAUAAGAUCACAUCAUGGUCAAAAUUCUGUUUUACAUAUUGUCUCACUUUCCCAGUGCUUAAAGUCAGAUCUUAGAAAGCCGAGAUCCCACAUACUAUACAUAAAUUCCUUCUGUAUUCACCCAGAUUUGCUCAAAGUGUUCAGCAAAAAGAAUGCCACAAAACUUCCUCCUCACCGUCCAUGUAACUGUUCUAUAGAUAUCUUAGACGGUUCUGCUGUUCCUAAAUCUUGUGUCUAUCCCUUGACACAGACAGAGGAGAGAGCCUUGGGGGAAUACGUUGACAAGACACUGUCUCGAGGUUUUAUUCGCCCCUCAACGUCCCCGACCCCAUCUGGAUUUUUCUUUGUGAAAAAGAGGGAUGGCAGUCUUAGGCCUUUCAUUGAUUACAGAGCCCUCAAUAUUAUCACAAAAAAUUGCUUACCCACUGCCUUUUAUCCCAAUUGCUUUAGAACAACUUUGUGGCGCAAAGUUUUUGACUAAGUUAGAUCUCCGCAGUGUCUGCAACUUAGUCUGUAUCAAGGAGGGAGAUAAGUUGAAAACAGCUUUCAUCAUCAUUAGAGGGCACUAUGAGUACUUAGGAAUGCCAUUCGGUCUGUCUAAUGCUCCAUCCAUUUUCCAGUUCUUCAUAAACUAUGUCCUCUGAGGCAUGACUGGGCAAUUCAUGAUUACGUACACAGAUGACAUUUUGAUUUACUCCCCUGAUUUUGACACUGUGCCAGCAGGUCUACAAUGUCCAUUAGAGAAUGAAUUGUAUGUGAAAGGAGAGAAGUGUGAAUUUGAUUUGCAGAAAGUAUUAUUUUCGGGAUACUCAAUAAGUGGCCAGGGCAACGUUAUGGAUGACCGAAAGGUAGACGGCAUACUUAACUGUCCCACUCAACGUCCAUCAAAGUUUUGCAAGUUCCUGGGUUUCGCCAACUUCUACCAUCGUUCAUUCGAAAUUUUAGUACUCUAGCUGCUCCCCUCACUGCUCUACUUAAGGGAACAUCCAAAAAGUUACAGUGGAGUUCAGCAGCUGAGAAUGCUUUUAGUAAAAUAAAGGAGGCAUUCACCUUUGCUCCCAUUCUUCAGCACCCUCAUCCUAACUUGCUCUUUGUAGCAGAGGUUGAUGCUUUAGAGACUAGAGCAGGUGCUGUCUUGUCACAGCAUAGUGGAAAAUUUGUAAAACUUUAACCAGGAGCUUUUUACUUACACAAACUCACUCUCACUGAAAGGAAUUAUGGCAUUGGAGAUCAUGAAUUACUAGCAGUUAAGCUAGCGUUAGAGGAAUAGAGACAUUGCUUGGAGGGAGAAGCUCACCCAUUUCUCAUAUUAACUAAUCAUAAGAAUACCUCCAUUCCGCUAAACACUUCCUCGACAAGCUCGCUGGUCCCUUUUCUUUUCUCAGUUCCAAUUCAGUAUCUCUUAUCGUACCAGUUCAUGUAAUUACAAAGCUGAUGCCUUGUCAAGAAUUCACCAGUGUGAGCCCAUUCUUCCUCCCUCUGUUCACAUAGCAUCCCUCCGAUGGGAGACUGAUGAAGGGAUCACCGAAGUCCUUAGAAAAUUGCAACAUCCCUGAUAGCUGUCCACAAAAAACGAUUCAUGUGCCAGUUCAAUUUUAACUCCUUAAAACUCCUUAGUUUGUUUGUCCACUCAAAUGACACUGUUUCAGUGUAUCUUCAGGGUAUCAACCCCCACUCGCACCAUGGACUGCUUCUCCAUCUGUUAUCCUAGCUGUCCAUGAUUGGAUGCAAUGCAGCAAGGAGGUCUGGGAACAAUAUCACUGUAGCAUCAAGGUAGCCCUCCAAUGUGCCAAGGAGCAGGCAGACCAACAGCAUGGGGAGACCCAAUCCUUUAGCCAGGAGACCGGGUUGGGUUGUCCACCUGGGAUCUCAGGUUUGGGGAGGGCAGUCUUAAGUUACAACCUAAGUAUGUCGGUCCAUUCCAAAUUGCUGUGACAAAUAAUGUCACAAACAGACUUAAUUUACCUGUUCAGUUCUGUAUCUCACCCUCUUUUCAUGUGUCCCCCCUUAAGCCUGUGGUCCCCAGACCACUGGACAAGGUAUCGCAUAACGAGGCACUGCCAGCUGGAGGUGGAUGGUGCCCUGGUCUACGCUGUCUGUCAGGUGCUGGACUCUCAGCAGUGUGAGGAGAUCCUCCAGUAUCUGAUAGACUGGAAGGAAUACGGACCAGAGGAGAGAUGCUGGGUGCCAGCAAAGGAUGUUCUGGACCCUGGGUUAGUGGCGGAUUUCCAUGCCAGGCAUGGGUUCGAACUCACUCACAGCCGGUGCCAAGUCAACGCACUCAAUCAGCCAAAAAAGACUGACUGAUGAAGACUGACUGGAGUCAAUGGUGCCAUACACACUAUUCUGACUAAGUGAAACAGAAAGCUGCCAAUGCUUACCAGCGGCCUGGCAGCGUCCAACGGGUUGAUAUUCGUCUUGGUGUUUCCUGGACCUAUUAUUCAAAUUUCUUUUAAUGAAUGCUUUCCAAAAUCACAAAUUCUUGAUGGAUGACAUUGUUUUUUUAUGUACCCACAACAUCAUCUGGCAUACCACAAGUACCAUAGUUUGGGAACCACUGAUGUAGAUCUUUUUCUUUUGCCAUUUUGACCCAAAAGUUCAAAAAGGUCAAUUGGGCCUGCAUAGCCACAGAGCAUCUGCACUGGUUAUGUUUCUCUACUCAUUUAUCCAGGUUUUAAUUUAAUUUGUCACCCAUCUAUAUGUUAUAUAACUUGUCAUUGUCAUCACCAUCAUCAUCAUCUUUAUCAUUGUCAGUUUAAUAAGUUUGAGGCCCCUUCACAAAAACAUACAUAGUAUUAUGGCCUUUAUAAGAUCUUACAUUUGUUCAUUAUAACAUUAGUCAUGUAACUACAAGUACUAACAAUGACUCAUGCCAUUCACUAAAAGGCAAGGGUGUCAAGUCUUAUCCACAAAGGGAUGGUGUGGCAGUAGCUUUUCAUUCCAAACCAGCUGGAGCACACCUGAAUAUGUCAAAUCACUUGGGCUCAGUCUUUGAACAGUUGAUCUCAUGUGUUUUGAGAAGGGUCUGGCUGCAGACAUGCACUUUCAGCCUACAUGCGCCACCAGCCUAUUGAUGACGUCAGUGCACGCUCUGUAACGACAGUUUUUUUGUCGGUUUUAUGAGGGAAAACAGCGAACUACGUACUGUUUCUGCUAUUGUGGCUGAGAGUGCAUCUGGCUGAAAGUGCAUGUCUGCAGCCAUGUCUGCAACCAUGUCUAUUGUGUGUUCCUGCUUGUUCAGAAUGAAACAUGCAGCCACACCAGACCUUUGUUGAUAAGAUUGGACACCCCUUAUGUAAAGUGUAGUGUUUGUAUGCUUGAGUGUAACGUCUUCACACCACACUAAUAAAUAAAGGACUCUUUA
This is a long non-coding RNA of Colossoma macropomum (tambaqui), 6469 nucleotides long. RefSeq lists it as uncharacterized. The record is from RefSeq and is a predicted model, not a curated record. NCBI's taxonomy places the organism in Eukaryota, Metazoa, Chordata, Actinopteri, Characiformes, Serrasalmidae. The transcript has 2 exons.